UUCUAACCUUCAGUCUUGUAUGCCAUUUCUUUAACUCUGCUUCAUUCCAUGUAAUUUCUUCAGAUUUCUCUUUCAAUCUACUAGAUAUACGUGCAGGAAAACCGUUAUACAAACUGAAAAGAUUCCAGCAAAUGAUCCCAGUACACUGUGAGGAAAUCAGUCAGGCUUCAGCCACGUGGCUCUUUUCCCAACCUUGGAUAGAUUGCUCACAGGUAUGUGUGAUCUAUACCCAGGUGAGCAUUGGAAGGGACUCCUCUCUGGAUCUCCAGAAUUCUCUCUCUGUGCAACUCUCUCCUCUCUGUACUCCAGCAACCUCGAUCUCCCAGGAUUGCUAAUUCAGAGUUAGCUAACUAAACCUGUAUUUCCGUUUUUUCCAUAGGCCAGAGCUUGGAAACUCUCUCAAGGAAGUGAGCUGGGGGAAAUAUUAGUUUCACCUCGCUUUUUUACCAUUUCUCAGGGAUCACUGUCAUUCAUUGCUUUAUGUUCAGUGCCUUGAAAUACUCAUGACAAUUACAGUUCUCACUUCAGUAACUGCUCACGUGGUCAUAGCUGGUAUUUAUAACUACCUUCUUUCAUUAUGCAUUUGUAUUCCCUUUGCCUUCAGCAAGCACCUCAACUUCCUCAUUGUUCUUUACCUUGUGGAUUGACGCAAACCUUCAUUCCUGAAUGGUCUGGGCCAUUAGUAGUCCUACCUGGAUUAGAUUGUUCUAGUUUUCCAUUGACCUUAGUCACAGGGCAUGGUAAUAGUAAGAGACACGCUAAGGAAUCUCUUGUAUUCCCAACAUACCCUUCCUUAGCUCCACAAUGGAGCAGUAGGCCAAUUUCCCCUUGGUAGUUAGGAUCAGUCACUUUAGCCAGCACACUAACUCUUUUCUUUGGCUACUGAUUCAGAGGCAUGCGGAGCCCAAAAUGGCUGGAUAGUAGUCUUAACUUCUAGUUCAAUGGAAUAAUUGUUGUUUCUUCUAGUGGAAGUAUUCCUCCCUCUGGAACUAAGACAUCUAGUCCAGAAGAGCGUAAAGUCAUGCAAACAGGAAGCAAAAGUUUUGCCACUCGGUUAUUAUGGGUAAUAAUGAGUGGUGCCAAUCCCGUUUUCACUCCUUGAUUUCUGGACCUGUGAAUUCUGGCUGUGGAAGAAACAGGUUGGAUGCUGAUUUAGAGCAUAUACAGCCUUCUGGAGAAUCUUACCUCACCCCUACAAGGUAUUGCCACCUAGCUGGCAUUUUGAGUCUUCAGUGGAUCAUUGCAGUGUUCUGUCAAACUAGCUGCUUCAGGAUGAUGGAGAAUACGAACUUGAAGUAUUUAUAAAGAGAUUAAAGGUGAGACAGGAAUUUGUGGGCAAGGACAGUUUCUUGGUGUACAACGAAAGAUCCAAGUAUGCCUCUCAGAUUAGAAAAGAUAUUCCUGGGCUUGAGAGAUGGGAGAAAGUCAAAUCUACUGUUCCUGUAGCUUCAGGUACCUGGUGCCUGUUACAGAACCACUGGGAAUGUAAUAGUUGCCUACCUUACCCUCUCACCCCGACUGGAAUGGGUGUAUGAUCUCCAGGCAGACAGAAUCAUAGACAGGCUCAUAAAUGAUGCUCAUCUCCCACAUGGAUAUGAAAUCAGCAGAGACUCAUC
Long non-coding RNA from Equus caballus (horse), 1616 nucleotides. NCBI's taxonomy places the organism in Eukaryota, Metazoa, Chordata, Mammalia, Perissodactyla, Equidae. The record is from Ensembl.